RNAcentral lists this ribosomal RNA (236 nucleotides) under uncultured bacterium. RNAcentral's name for it is "partial 16S ribosomal RNA". It matches the Rfam family "Bacterial small subunit ribosomal RNA", at positions 524 to 765 of the family's 1533-position model. The record is from RNAcentral.
UACGUAGGGUGCGAGCGUUAAUCGGAAUACUGGGCGUAAAGCGUGCGCAGGCGGUUGUUAAGACAGAUGUGAAAUCCCGGGCUUAACCUGGGAACUGCAUUGUGACUGGCGAGCUAGAGUAUGGCAGAGGGGGUAGAAUUCCACGUGUGAGCAGUGAAUGCGUAGAGAUGUGGAGGAAUACCGAUGGCGAAGGCAGCCCCUGGGCCAAUACUGACGCUCAUGCACGAAAGCGUGGG